GAAGACCUCAGUCCUCUAUUAUCGAAGGAGGGAAGAAGACCUUUUGUGCAAAAAUCGACAAAUGCACCUUUGUUAGUUAAUUCAGAAAAUAAAAAUAGACAAGCUAGUCAGGUGCUGGUAUCUUCAAGCAUAGCAUCUGAUGAAGAAGAAACCGAAAAACCUUUGAAUAGUUCAUCUCUGUUGAAAGAAUCGAUUGGCCACACAGAGGUUGAAGUCAUAGCAGGUGCAUUGCUAGGUUUCUGUGUAAGUUUGGCAGUG
RNAcentral lists this unclassified non-coding RNA (258 nucleotides) under Hevea brasiliensis (rubber tree). Lineage: Eukaryota; Viridiplantae; Streptophyta; Magnoliopsida; Malpighiales; Euphorbiaceae. The record is from RNAcentral.